RNAcentral lists this ribosomal RNA (253 nucleotides) under uncultured bacterium. Its description in RNAcentral is "partial 16S ribosomal RNA". It matches the Rfam family "Bacterial small subunit ribosomal RNA", at positions 524 to 776 of the family's 1533-position model. The record is from RNAcentral.
GACGGAGGAGGCGAGCGUUGUUUGGAAUUACUGGGCGUAAAGCGCACGUAGGCGGGACUGAAAGUCAGGGGUGAAAUCCCGGGGCUCAACCCCGGAACUGCCUUUGAAACUUCCGUUCUCGAGGUCGAGAGAGGUGGGUGGAAUUCCGAGUGUAGAGGUGAAAUUCGUAGAUAUUCGGAGGAACACCGGUGGCGAAGGCGGCCCACUGGCUCGGUACUGACGCUGAGGUGCGAAAGCGCGGGGAGCAAACAGG